CUUGGCCAAAAUUGAACCCGGGACUGCGGCCUGCAGGCCGACGCUCUAACCGCUGAGCAAAACCAGAUAGGGCGAGGCACACUAUUAACAAGGCGUUGAUAUUCCAAGAAAUAUAUUUUAGGAAAGGUUCUUCUAGAAUAUAUACUCUUUUUAUUUAUAUGGUAUGGUGUGGUUUUAUUUACAAGUUUAUUUUUUAAGCUUUUUUAUCCCGCCCUAGAAAAAAAGUUAGUGCAAAAUACUAAGGAAAUUAUUACUCUAAAAUUUUAGCUUUCUCUGAUUUUUGUUCUCUUUUCAUUGGAAACCUACUAAAUAUUAACCAAAAGAAAAAGAGAUUUUACUAGUUGUGAUAACCAUUGCCACGCAGAAACCGAAGAGCAGUGGUUCUUAAACUUUGAUGUCUUCAAGAAUCACUUCAGGUGUUUGUUUAAAACACAGGUACGCUGAUUCUGCAGGUUUGGGGUGGGUUUUUCAACAAGCUCCCUAGGUGAUUCUGAUAGGGUAGUCAAUAGCAUUGACUUUGCAGUAUACUGGCCUAAAGGGAUUCCAUAUGUUGGACCUUAGGUUAGACUGUUGUAACAGUAAGACAUUGAGAAGUUUCCAAGCCUUUUUACCUUGGGCAUUUUUAGAAUUAAGCAUUUGUUUUAAUUUCUUGUUUUCAAGAAAUUGAAAAAAAGCAGUCUCACAAAUAGCAAGAUGUCAGGCCAGCUUUUACAUGUUAGCAAAUAUUUUCUGAUGUUUGUAAAGGAUGGUAAUUAUUUGCUUUAUGCCAUUCAAAGCUUCUACCUAAUUUUAUUUUUUAUUUUCACUUAUUUUGAAGCAAAUUCUAUUAAUAAAUUAUCAAAGAAUUUGGCUCUAAAGAACUACAUAAGCAUAUGUCACUUUUUAAAUGACAAAGGGAUAUGAAUGCAAUAUAAUUAUCACCAGUGUCUAAAAAACAAAUAGAAUAACCAUAAGGGUAUAGAAAUACAUGGACGUGUAUGUGAGUAUUCUUGCAAUUAAAAUGGAUCCUCUUAUAAAAUUAAAUGCUUUUUUGGUGCACCCAAAAACCUGUUGAUUAUAAGUGUACUUUAACUUUUAAUAACUUGUUUAUGUAUAAAAGUAAAAAUUAGUGAGGGCAAGAAUAAAUGAAAUAUUUAUAUAGCCUUUUCACACAGAGAUAUAACUGCAUGCUAGUUUUAUUUCUUCCAUGUGUGGAUGAUAAGCUCUAUUAAAAACUAUAGCAAGUAUUUUUACAUAUGAUUUCAGUAAAGAGAAAACAUAAAGGUCAUCCUUAUUAGGUAAAACUUCCAUUUUAAUACCUGAAUUCUAAUAAAUGGAUUGCAUUAUUUCCUUUUCUAGAAACUAACUCAAGAACACAUGGAUCCUGGGAACUGCAGUAGGUGUUCCCAAGCAAGACAACAGAACAAAUUAAUAGUUUUACCAGAAGAAACCUCAAUCUAUAAAAAGGCUCACGCCUGAAGAGCUUCCACAUUGAAUGCCGACUGGAAUGGAGCAGUGUCCACAGUGUUGUGUAGUUUGGGAUUUCUCUACUCGUCCAAGUGUGAAGGUAACAGACUUUCUGUGAUAUGCAGUGUGCUACUCAUUUAAUCAGACACUACCAAAAUGAAUCAAAAUUAAGAAGAAAAAGGCCCAUAGGUGAGUAUUGAAAUCAGGGAAGCUGCCAAGGAGGGAUGGCAGUUUUUUUUAGGGGGGUGCAGUGAGCAGUAAAAUCCUUUUGUGAAGAAAAACUAAAACUUUUUUUUUUACUUUGAAAAUUAAAUGUAAGUUUAAGAAUCUUGAAAUCUGUUAAAAUAGUUAACAAUAAAGUUAAUAACAGUG
Non-coding RNA from Miniopterus natalensis, 1818 nucleotides. The record is from RefSeq and is a predicted model, not a curated record. NCBI's taxonomy places the organism in Eukaryota, Metazoa, Chordata, Mammalia, Chiroptera, Miniopteridae.